This is a long non-coding RNA of Macrobrachium nipponense, 855 nucleotides long. RefSeq lists it as uncharacterized. The transcript has 3 exons. Lineage: Eukaryota; Metazoa; Arthropoda; Malacostraca; Decapoda; Palaemonidae. The record is from RefSeq and is a predicted model, not a curated record.
CUUGGGCGUCUGUGAUUGGCUGGAAGUUGUUGAAGAGUUUUGUAAUAUGUAUACUGUAUAGUGAGAUGGGCCGCAAAGAUGGUUUUCUGUUACAUCCCCAGAAUAAGAGUUUUUGUGUUUUCAAGGUACCUGGUUGUACUUCUAGGCAAGAUAGGAGAGCAAAAUUUUAGUAGUAGUUCUGUGCAACUAGAAUCUGCUACAUAAUGGUUCUCUUUGUGGUGGUGACGAAUCCAAAGAUGUGCAGUCUGAAUUGGGGAUUUAAUCUCCUAAUAUACAGCUGAAACCUCUGAGGGUGAGCAAGUGAUCAAACUCUGCUUGUCACCCAGAAUGGUGUUGAAACUACCCACAAGUGAGACUUCAAUCCCAAGCCCUCUGACAAAGUAUUUAUGGUGCUGAAACUACCUGCGAGUGAAACUUCACGCCCAAACCCUGCUGAUACGAAGUUUCUGGUACUUAAAACUAUCAGCGAGGGAGACUUUAUCCAAAACCCUGCUGACUCCUCCAAGUAUUUGCUGGUGCUGAAGCUACCAGUCAGUUUCAGUUGCGGCAGACAUAAAAAGUGGCACACUCGACAUACCCUCUACUGUUGCUAUAAAAGUGGCUCAAGAACGUGCCUCAAGAGGAACGAACAUUUGAAAACUUCAAGAUAGUAGCAUCCAAAGUAGUAUUUUUUCUAGCAUCCAAUGUAAUAUUUUUUCCAAAGAAACUUUUUCUAGCAUCCAAUGUAAUAUUUUUUCUAAUGUCAAUUUACAAAAUUAGUAAUAAAAUUAUGUAAACUACUGACGGUAUGAUUAUAUUUAACGUUCAUAAGUGUUAAUAGUGUAGAUUGAUGCUAACAUGUUUCCAGUACAAAUA